Long non-coding RNA from Prosopis cineraria, 500 nucleotides. RefSeq lists it as uncharacterized. Lineage: Eukaryota; Viridiplantae; Streptophyta; Magnoliopsida; Fabales; Fabaceae. The record is from RefSeq and is a predicted model, not a curated record. The transcript has 3 exons.
UUUGUUCCCGCGUAAAUCUAACGUAACCCUACUCUGUCUUAUUUCUUCGCGCGUUCGACAAGGUUGACUCACUCAUCGUGCGGCCGCUCAAACCAUAGGCGCAAGAGAUGCUAGCACUCGGGCGAGGACAUGCAGUAAUAUUGGCCAUGUUUGAGUUCCAGUUUCUAUCAUUGUUUCAGUUGUUGAAGGGAGAACUUCUCUUUCACCAGCUAUGCCAACAGGGAGAGGCCGAAGAAGAAUACAAGGGGGUAGAGGGAGUGGCAUUAGUGCUAGCAGUACAAAUUCUUCUAAGCAAUUAGAUCCAAAUGGUGGUGGAAAAUAGCUAUGUUAUUUCCUAAGUUUUUCCUUUAUUUUAUAUGCAUGAGAUACUUAGAACUCUUAUUGAGUUUAUUAUUCUACUAUCUUAUAAUAUUGUAUGACUUUUGAUAUGUGGUUAACAUAUUGAACCACUUAUGAUAUGACUUUUCAUAUAUGAAUUACAGAUUGAACCACUUAUAUUA